UAGUUGAACCUUGGGUCUGGCUGGCAGGUCCGCCUCACCGCGUGUACUUGUCCGGCCGGGCCUUCCUUCUGGAGAACCUCAUGCCCUUCACUGGGCGUGUUGGGGACCAGGACUUUUACUUUGAAAAAAUUAGAGUGUUCAAAGCAGGCCUUUGCUCGAAUACGUUAGCAUGGAAUAAUAGAAUAGGACGUGCGGUCCUAUUUUGUUGGUUUCUAGGACCGCCGUAAUGAUUAAUAGGGACAGUCGGGGGCAUCAGUAUUCAAUUGUCAGAGGUGAAAUUCUUGGAUUUAUUGAAGACUAACUACUGCGAAAGCAUUUGCCAAGGAUGUUUUCAUUAAUCAGUGAACGAAAGUUAGGGGAUCGAAGACGAUCAGAUACCGUCGUAGUCUUAACCGUAAACUAUGCCGACUAGGGAUCGGGCGAUGUUCUUUUUCUGACUCGCUCGGCACCUUACGAGAAAUCAAAGUUUUUGGGUUCUGGGGGGAGUAUGGUCGCAAGGCUGAAACUUAAA
This 511-nucleotide ribosomal RNA is filed under the name Leptosphaeriaceae sp. RNAcentral's name for it is "SSU rRNA". It matches the Rfam family "Eukaryotic small subunit ribosomal RNA", at positions 631 to 1148 of the family's 1831-position model. The record is from RNAcentral. Lineage: Eukaryota; Fungi; Ascomycota; Dothideomycetes; Pleosporales; Leptosphaeriaceae.